GCGCCUGUAGCUCAGUGGAUUAGAGCGCUUCCCUGCGGAGGAAGAGGCCACGCGUUCGAGUCGCGUCAGGCGCGCCA
This 77-nucleotide transfer RNA is filed under the name Armatimonadota bacterium. RNAcentral describes it as "Armatimonadetes bacterium (anaerobic digester metagenome) tRNA-Arg". It matches the Rfam family "tRNA". Rfam says of the family: Transfer RNA (tRNA) molecules are approximately 80 nucleotides in length. The record is from RNAcentral. Lineage: Bacteria; Bacillati; Armatimonadota.